GUAAAAGACUACAGAACCUGAUAGCAGAGAUUGGGAUGAUGCUUCUACAAGCCAAGAAUGCCAGAAAUUUCCAGCAAGCCAUAAGAAGCUAGAAGAGACAUAUGGAACAGAUCAUCCCCAUAGCUUUCAGAAGGAACCCUGCUGACACCUUGAUCUUGGACUUCUAGACUCAGAACAGUGAGCCAGUAAAAUUCUAUUCUUUAAGUCAUACAGUUUGUGGUGCUUUAUUAUGGUAGCUCCAGCCAACUAAUACAACUCCAGACCAUUUAUUGAGUUAUGAGUUCUGGAGAAUUGUGUAUAAAUCUAUUUUCAAUUUCUCUCAAUUUAUGAUUGACUAUAUUACCAUUUCUCAUACUUAAACACGUCUGGAGUGCACCUGAAGUAAAGACUAGUCCUUAGCUCCUGUGAAAACUCAGGGGCAAAGUGAAUCUGCCAUUUGACUCCUACUCCUGUCAACUUCAGGGUGACUGCUGCAGACACAGAUGGGAUGUCUCACUAGAGAAAGAAAAUGGUGCAAGAGAAUUCUUCAGAAUCUGUUUCUGAAAGCUAUUUUGUGCCACCUUCAACUGACUGGAAGACUAUGUUUGGGAGAAUGAUGUGAAAUGUUAUCUUUGGAUGUUGGAGAUAAUUCUUUAAAGCACUGUAGUAUAUGAAAAAUGGUAUUUGAAUCAAUAAAUAAUUAAAUUAAUGAUGAUCUUUUGGGGAA
This 706-nucleotide long non-coding RNA is filed under the name Vulpes vulpes (red fox). Its description in RNAcentral is "lncRNA (ENSVVUG00000022982.1)". Lineage: Eukaryota; Metazoa; Chordata; Mammalia; Carnivora; Canidae. The record is from RNAcentral.